UACGUAGGGUGCAAGCGUUAAUCGGAAUUACUGGGCGUAAAGCGUGCGCAGGCGGUUAUGUAAGACAGUUGUGAAAUCCCCGGGCUCAACCUGGGAACUGCAUCUGUGACUGCAUAGCUAGAGUACGGUAGAGGGGGAUGGAAUUCCGCGUGUAGCGGUGAAAUGCGUAGAUAUGCGGAGGAACACCGAUGGCGAAGGCAAUCCCCUGGACCUGUACUGACGCUCAUGCACGAAAGCGUGGGGAGCAAACAGG
Molecule: ribosomal RNA, 253 nt
Filed under: uncultured bacterium
Lineage: Bacteria
Description: partial 16S ribosomal RNA
Rfam family: Bacterial small subunit ribosomal RNA
Source: RNAcentral